CAAAUGGAUCUAAACAGGAGGAAACCAAAUGCAGCGUUUAUUCACUUAAAAAUAAAUAAACGCUGCAUUUGGUUUCCUCCUGUUUAGAUCCAUUUG
Molecule: non-coding RNA, 96 nt
Organism: Podarcis lilfordi (Lilford's wall lizard)
Lineage: Eukaryota; Metazoa; Chordata; Lepidosauria; Squamata; Lacertidae
Source: the annotation of a GenBank genome assembly